GAGCACCUGGGGCAAAGCCGGGCCCACCCACGGGAGCUCAGGUGCAGGCAAUGUUCUGUAGCGAGCGCAAGGGGCGGAGCUAGGGCGCACCCCUUCCCGUCCUCAUUUUAGGGCCGGCAGAGGACGAGAGAGUGUUUCUCUCUUGUGGUCUCUGCCUAAUAAGACUUUUUGAAGGCUGUUGCAACUUUGUUGCCGUUAACCCAGCGUUCUACGUACGCGCUUGGGUUAUUUCCAUCGCCAGAACGCAGAGCACCGCAACUGUCCUGUAACGACUUCAAUGUUGUCGGCGCGAAGAGCGCGGCUUCGGAGCUCCGCGGCUCGGUAGUAUCGUUCAGAGCCAGGGCCCCUUUCUCAGCGACGCGCCCGAGGGGCUGGGAGGGGACAGAAUGGCGACACCCGACUUAAACCGGUCUUAGGCUUCCACGUCGUGCAGCAAGAUUUCGGAAGGGAAGACAAGUCUGAAUUCACCUGCUCCAUCGUGCCAGAGGAGUCCACCUUUGCAUCAGAUACGCUAGAACAGCAAGCAGGGUUGAAAUUGCAGCGUCCCCAGCCCAGUUCUCUUCCCCAGGCAACACGGGACUUGGAGUAUUUCCCCAAAAAAGAAAAACAAGCAGAGAACAACCAAGCAGCCAGCUUCCUCCGCUUCUGAAGCGCUACUCGAGGCCCCGCCAUACGUACUGAGCCGGCUUCACCAGGAAUCCAAGGACAGCAAGCUGCCACCAAGCCACCUCCAGCGUCAGAACCGCCAACGCUGAGCUCUUCGUCUCCUGGGAUCCCUGUGUAAGAGGUAAGGUCCCUACAGCCAGUGGCAUUCCCACACAGCUAGGAUUUACAAGACAUUCAUUUUUGUUUUUCCAGCCCAAGUCCGGCUUAGCAGGGCUAUUCCCAGCAGCUGUAGCAGAGGCUUCAGCUGUCAUACUUAACUGGGGAGCCCCUCUGAGAAGUUAGCUGCAGUUAAGAUGUCAUUUUGGGAUUCGAGUACCAGAGCAACUUAUGGUAGCGCUUUAGUCUAAAAGCCUGGCUGCCAGUGGGGUAUCACAACGUAGCUAACAUUGUGGCUCAAACCUAGAAAGACCAACUGUUUGUUUGAGACGGUAAGCCCGCAUCAACGCUAUUGUUUGAGACGGUAAGCCCACAUCAACGCUAUUGUUUGAGACGGUAAGCCCACAUCAACGCUAUUGCUCCUCUAAGUUUAACAGCUGACCCCUGUCUCCACCUCAAAUUAACACCUCUCCUCAUUCUAGCAAGUAGCAUGGAUUACCACAGCAGAAUCCUCAGAGCAAGGAACAAGCACCUCUGACUAAGCAAUCCAUGUGGGAAAAGCCUCAUGUUCUAUUGAUCCCAGUGACUUUAGGGUGAAGAUGCUUAUUGUUGCAGAAUACUCAUCGUGAACCAAGGAAGAACACUCAGCUGCCUGCUGCAGGAGGAUUUCACAGCCAUCCACACCAGCAAAGAAUUUUUCCCAGGCACCUAUCUGCUCUUCAUUAAAGCCCAGACCCAAAUUUA
This is a long non-coding RNA of Centrocercus urophasianus (Greater sage-grouse), 1506 nucleotides long. RefSeq lists it as uncharacterized. Lineage: Eukaryota; Metazoa; Chordata; Aves; Galliformes; Phasianidae. The transcript has 5 exons. The record is from RefSeq and is a predicted model, not a curated record.